Molecule: long non-coding RNA, 723 nt
Filed under: Panax ginseng (ginseng)
Lineage: Eukaryota; Viridiplantae; Streptophyta; Magnoliopsida; Apiales; Araliaceae
Description: long non-coding RNA (PGIN_LNC008393)
Source: RNAcentral
UUUAUUGAUGUAUAUGUUGAUAUGUAUAAUGAUAAAUGGAAUUUGUUAGUUCCCAGUAGGCACACAAUAGAUUUAGAAGGGGGGUUGAAUAGAUCCUUUUAAUUUUCAAAUACUUUUCUCUUUUAUUUUGUGUUGCUAAUGAAUUAGCAUAUGACAAACAUAAGAAUCUUUUCAAGUACAACAGAAAAAGUAAAAGAUCCCCUUUAUUGAUAUAUUCAUAAUCAUACAUACAUUGUUCUUAGAGUUAGUUAAGUUGUAAGCAGUUAAUACAUACAUAGCAGUUAUAGCAGUUAGGUACAUAAUAUAAAUGACAUAAAAUAAAUGACACAAGGGAUUUUAAGUUGUUCAGAGACUCAAGCUCCUAAUCCACUCGUUUGCUUUCAACUAGCAGGAUUUCCACUAAGGAAGGGCAGCACCCUGAAUCACUAAGAUUCUUUCAAGGCUAGCAGCCUUGGAACUUCAGUUCACUUAGAACUCUUCAAGGCCAGCAGCCUUGGAACUCCUCUAGUUCCCUAAGAACUCUUCAAGCCCAGCAGGCUUGGAACUUUAUUUAGUCCCUCAGGACAAGUGUGGCGACCUCAAAUCCGGGUACUUGCAACCCGAACUCGGUUCUCCACGAUACCAUUUCUUUAAGCUGAAUAAUACUAAAUAAUAAUACAUUCGAACUUAAUUUACAUACAUCAAAGUUUACUUCCCCAGGUACGUGACCUUCAAAUACAUUCC